This 609-nucleotide ribosomal RNA is filed under the name Triticum aestivum (bread wheat). Its description in RNAcentral is "partial small subunit ribosomal RNA". Lineage: Eukaryota; Viridiplantae; Streptophyta; Magnoliopsida; Poales; Poaceae. The record is from RNAcentral.
AUGCCCUCCUUCGCCCCGUCGGCCGAUCGGGAGUUCCCUUGUGAUGAUCGCCGAGUUUUGCAUCCUACUCCUCGGUCACACUUGGGCAGUACACCCAAGAUGGAUUUUCCUAAAUUCGAUGGGGAAGAUUACCAAGUGUGGUUGGACAAUUGUGAACUAUAUUUUGAGAUUUAUGGGGUGUCUGAGCUAAUGAAGGUCAAGUUUGCCGCUCUCAACUGUGUUGGGAGCGCGGCACUGUGGCUAAAAAUGGCCCAGAAACGCCGGCAGUUUGUGCAUUGGCACGACCUGCGCACUGCAGUUCAGGAGAAGUGGGGGAAGAACAAGCACAAAUUCCACAUGCGCCAGUUGCUGUUGCUUAGUCAAACUAGCUCGGUAGAUGAGUAUACUUCUAAAUUUGACACCCUGCGACACCAAAUCCUUCUAGCAGAUCCACACACUAGUGAGGUGUUUUUUGUUGAGAGAUAUAUAGCAGGCCUUCGUCCUAAAAUUCGUUCUGCUGUUAUAUUGCAUCAACCAGAGGAUGUCGAUACUGCUAGUUGUUUGGCCCUGUUGUGGGAAGUGGAGCUCGACAACGACAAGGCAGGCAGCAGCUCUAAGUCCAGCCAGUGA